This 153-nucleotide non-coding RNA is filed under the name uncultured Draconibacterium sp. The record is from RNAcentral. Lineage: Bacteria; Pseudomonadati; Bacteroidota; Bacteroidia; Marinilabiliales; Prolixibacteraceae.
UACAGUGAAGGAAGCCAGACUGCAAACUCCGGUACUGACGAACAGGAAUCGCAUAGGAGGCUAUAAAGUAUGGAUAAGCAAGCACAUCAUUGUAACGUCCUAUAAUUAGUUAUAUGCUUUAUAGUAGAUGCGGCAGCGAUUGGAGGAAGGAAC